UACGUAGGGGCCUAGCGUUGUCCGGAAUUAUUGGGCGUAAAGAGCUCGUAGGCGGUUCGGCAAGUCGGAUGUGAAAUCUCCACGCUCAACGUGGAGGGGCCAUUCGAAACUGCCGUGACUCGAGUCCGGUAGGGGAGUGUGGAAUUCCCGGUGUAGCGGUGAAAUGCGCAGAUAUCAGGAGGAACACCGGUGGCGAAGGCGGGUCUCUGGGCCGAUAUCGACGCUGAGGAGCGAAAGCGUGGGGAGCGAACAGG
RNAcentral lists this ribosomal RNA (254 nucleotides) under uncultured bacterium. RNAcentral's name for it is "partial 16S ribosomal RNA". It matches the Rfam family "Bacterial small subunit ribosomal RNA", at positions 524 to 776 of the family's 1533-position model. The record is from RNAcentral.